This 565-nucleotide ribosomal RNA is filed under the name uncultured bacterium. Its description in RNAcentral is "partial 16S ribosomal RNA". It matches the Rfam family "Bacterial small subunit ribosomal RNA", at positions 355 to 913 of the family's 1533-position model. The record is from RNAcentral.
UGGGGAAUUUUGGACAAUGGGCGAAAGCCUGAUCCAGCAAUGCCGCGUGUGUGAAGAAGGCCUUCGGGUUGUAAAGCACUUUUGUCCGGAAAGAAAUCCUUGGCUCUAAUACAGUCGGGGGAUGACGGUACCGGAAGAAUAAGCACCGGCUAACUACGUGCCAGCAGCCGCGGUAAUACGUAGGGUGCAAGCGUUAAUCGGAAUUACUGGGCGUAAAGCGUGCGCAGGCGGUUUGCUAAGACCGAUGUGAAAUCCCCGGGCUCAACCUGGGAACUGCAUUGGUGACUGGCAGGCUAGAGUAUGGCAGAGGGGGGUAGAAUUCCACGUGUAGCAGUGAAAUGCGUAGAGAUGUGGAGGAAUACCGAUGGCGAAGGCAGCCCCCUGGGCCAAUACUGACGCUCAUGCACGAAAGCGUGGGGAGCAAACAGGAUUAGAUACCCUGGUAGUCCACGCCCUAAACGAUGUCAACUAGUUGUUGGGGAUUCAUUUCCUUAGUAACGUAGCUAACGCGUGAAGUUGACCGCCUGGGGAGUACGGUCGCAAGAUUAAAACUCAAAGGAAUUGA